RNAcentral lists this non-coding RNA (383 nucleotides) under Nicotiana sylvestris (wood tobacco). RNAcentral describes it as "Eukaryotic large subunit ribosomal RNA". It matches the Rfam family "Eukaryotic large subunit ribosomal RNA", at positions 2575 to 2988 of the family's 3401-position model. Lineage: Eukaryota; Viridiplantae; Streptophyta; Magnoliopsida; Solanales; Solanaceae. The record is from Rfam by way of RNAcentral. RNAcentral also lists the same sequence under 1 other name.
UGUAUUGAUUUUAAAGAUUUGAAUAAGACUUUCCCUAAAAAUUUAGUGGCACAUUUUUUAAAAGAUAACGCAUGUGUCAUAAGAUGAGAUCAACGAGAACAAAAUCUCGUGUGGAACAGAAGGGUAAAAGCUCAUUUGAUUCUGAUUUUCGGUACGGAUAUGAACCGUGAAAGUGUGGCCUAAUGACCCUUUAGACCUUCGAAAUUCAAAGCUAGAGGUGUCAGAAAAGUUACCACGGGGAUAACUGGCUUGUGGCAGCCAAGCGUUCAUAGCAACGUUACUUUUUGAUCCUUUGAUGUGGGCUCAUCCUAUCAUUGUGAAGCAGAAUUCACCAAGUGUUGGAUUGUGCAGCUGGGUUUAGACCGUCGUGAAACAUGUUAGUU